UAGUGAUCCGGCGGUGGAAAGUGGAAUCGCCGUCGCUUAACGGAUAAAAGGUACUCCGGGAUAACAGGCUGAUCGCCACCAAGAGUUCAUAUCGACGUGGCGGUUUGGCACCUCGAUGUCGGCUCAUCGCAUCCUGGGGCUGUAGUCGGUCCCAAGGGUUGGGCUGUUCGCCCAUUAAAGCGRUACGCGAGCUGGGUUCAGAACGUCGUGAGACAGUUCGGUCCCUAUCCGUCGUGGGCGUAGGAAAUUUGAGAGGAGCUGUCCUUAGUACGAGAGGACCGGGAUGGACAUACCUCUGGUGUACCAGUUGUCGUGCCAACGGCAUAGCUGGGUAGCUAUGUGUGGACGGGAUAAGUGCUGAAAGCAUCUAAGCAUGAAGCCCCCCUCAAGAUGAGAUUUCCCAACUUCGGUUAUAAGAUCCCUCAAAGAUGAUGAGGUUAAUAGGUUCGAGGUGGAAGCAUGGUGACAUGUGGAGCUGACGAAUACUAAUCGAUCGAAGACUUAAUC
This 507-nucleotide ribosomal RNA is filed under the name Chlamydia pneumoniae B21. Its description in RNAcentral is "LSU rRNA". It matches the Rfam family "Bacterial large subunit ribosomal RNA", at positions 2413 to 2925 of the family's 2925-position model. The record is from RNAcentral. Lineage: Bacteria; Pseudomonadati; Chlamydiota; Chlamydiia; Chlamydiales; Chlamydiaceae.